CCUACGGGUGACAGCAGUGAGGAAUAUUGGUCAAUGGACGAGAGUCUGAACCAGCCAAGUAGCGUGAAGGAUGACUGCCCUAUGGGUUGUAAACUUCUUUUAUAUGGGAAUAAAAUGUUCCACGUGUGGGAUUUUGUAUGUACCAUAUGAAUAAGGAUCGGCUAACUCCGUGCCAGCAGCCGCGGUACUACGGUGGAUCCGAGCGUUAUCCGGAUUUAUUGGGUUUAAAGGGAGCGUAGGUGGAUUGUUAAGUCAGUUGUGAAAGUUUGCGGCUCAACCGUAAAAUUGCAGUUGAAACUGGCAGGCUUGAGUACAGUAGAGGUGGGCGGAAUUCGUGGUGUAGCGGUGAAAUGCUUAGAGAUCACGAAGAACUCCGAUUGCGAAGGCAGCUCACUGGACUGCAACUGACACUGAGGCUCGAAAGUGUGGGUAUCAAACAGGAUUAGAUACCCCUGUAGUC
This 460-nucleotide ribosomal RNA is filed under the name uncultured bacterium. RNAcentral's name for it is "partial 16S ribosomal RNA". It matches the Rfam family "Bacterial small subunit ribosomal RNA", at positions 338 to 795 of the family's 1533-position model. The record is from RNAcentral.